This is a non-coding RNA of Streptomyces sp. WM6368, 75 nucleotides long. NCBI's taxonomy places the organism in Bacteria, Bacillati, Actinomycetota, Actinomycetes, Kitasatosporales, Streptomycetaceae. The record is from Rfam.
CUUCAGGGAACCCAGGUGGAGCGGCCGGUCCGCCGGGCGGCCCCGGCCGUAGGUGGCCAGCAGCGCCUGUGCCUC